UACGAAGGGGGCUAGCGUUGCUCGGAAUGACUGGGCGUAAAGGGCGCGUAGGCGGCUCAUACAGUCAGGCGUGAAAUUCCUGGGCUCAACCUGGGGACUGCGCUUGAGACGUGUGGGCUUGAGUGGGGAAGAGGGUCGUGGAAUUCCCAGUGUAGAGGUGAAAUUCGUAGAUAUUGGGAAGAACACCGGUGGCGAAGGCGGCGACCUGGUCCUUGACUGACGCUGAGGCGCGAAAGCGUGGGGAGCAAACAGG
This 253-nucleotide ribosomal RNA is filed under the name uncultured bacterium. Its description in RNAcentral is "partial 16S ribosomal RNA". It matches the Rfam family "Bacterial small subunit ribosomal RNA", at positions 524 to 776 of the family's 1533-position model. RNAcentral also lists the same sequence under 2 other names. The record is from RNAcentral.